RNAcentral lists this ribosomal RNA (253 nucleotides) under uncultured bacterium. Its description in RNAcentral is "partial 16S ribosomal RNA". It matches the Rfam family "Bacterial small subunit ribosomal RNA", at positions 524 to 776 of the family's 1533-position model. The record is from RNAcentral.
UACGGAGGAUCCAAGCGUUAUCCGGAAUCAUUGGGUUUAAAGGGUGCGUAGGCGGGUUGGUAAGUCCGUGGUGAAAUCCCCAAGCUUAACUUGGGAACUGCCGUGGAUACUAUCAAUCUUGAAUAUCGUGGAGGUAAGCGGAAUAUGUCAUGUAGCGGUGAAAUGCUUAGAUAUGACAUAGAACACCAAUUGCGUAGGCAGCUUACUACACGAUCAUUGACGCUGAGGCACGAAAGCGUGGGGAGCAAACAGG